Long non-coding RNA from Odontomachus brunneus, 669 nucleotides. RefSeq lists it as uncharacterized. The transcript is spliced from 5 exons. The record is from RefSeq and is a predicted model, not a curated record. NCBI's taxonomy places the organism in Eukaryota, Metazoa, Arthropoda, Insecta, Hymenoptera, Formicidae.
GAUCUGUACGGCGGACGUUUUAACCAAUCGCGUUCGUUUCGCAAUACGAGGUUGUCAUCAUGCUUCCAUCUAGCUGUUGGUAAUGAAUUGCGCGAAAUGCUCGAUCUUUUCGUACCAAGCAGCAGCUAUAGGCACACAUCGAUCAACAUUGCUCCGCGUUUCUCGCGUCUUUUAUUCGUCGAAAGUAAGUCUUGCACGUUAAUAAAUCUCGGGAGUGUCGAGAAUAGUGAUGUACGAUCGCCGGGGCGUAUCAUGAAAACGUCAUUCAGAUCCAAUAGAGCAGACACAGUCACGCGGCUUUAGGGGAUGCGAUGCCUAAGUGAUGCCGCGCUGGAAGAUUUGGCUCGUGCCUUUUUGAAUCAGCUUGAAGAAACGAGAACUCGACUUUAACGAGAUCAGAGAAUGCGUCUUUGCUGCGUCAGAGAAUCCGGCUCGAGCCUGGCAGAGUUGGCGCGAAGAGGUGAAACAGACGACCAGCCGACUCUUAGAGGCUACUGCGCCAGAGGAUCUGGCUCGAGCCGAGUGGGGUUAGCUCGAAGAAACGAAAGCUGAAUGUGGCUACCUUGAUUGGCGGUUUGGUGAGUCAAAAUAAGAAACAUAUUGAUAAUAAACAGACAAAAAGUCUUUCAAUGUAGAAUAUGUUUAUCGAAUAAAUACGAUUUACUUUGC